RNAcentral lists this ribosomal RNA (253 nucleotides) under uncultured bacterium. RNAcentral's name for it is "partial 16S ribosomal RNA". It matches the Rfam family "Bacterial small subunit ribosomal RNA", at positions 524 to 776 of the family's 1533-position model. The record is from RNAcentral.
UACGUAGGGGGCAAGCGUUGUCCGGAAUCAUUGGGCGUAAAGCGCGUGUAGGCGGCUCGGUAAGUCUGCUGUGAAAGUCCAGGGCUCAACCCUGGGAUGCCGGUGGAUACUGUCGAGCUCGAGUCCGGAAGAGGCGAGUGGAAUUCCUGGUGUAGCGGUGAAAUGCCCAGAUAUCAGGAGGAACACCAAUGGCGAAGGCAGCUCGCUGGGACGUGACUGACGCUGAGACGCGAAAGCGUGGGGAGCAAACAGG